AGAGUUUGAUCCUGGCUCAGAAUGAACGCUGGCGGUAUGCCUAACACAUGCAAGUCGAGCGAGAAAGUUUCUUCGGAAAUGAGUACAGCGGCGGACGGGUGAGUAACACGUGAGAACCUACCCUGCAGUGAAGAAUAACCUUGAGAAAUUAAGGGUAAUACUGCAUACGUCCCUUAGGGGAGAAAGGUGGCUUUAUGCUGCCGCUGAAGGAUGGGCUUGCGGGCUAUUAGCUUGUUGGUGGGGUAAAGGCCCACCAAGGCGAUGAUGGCUAGCCGGCCUGAGAGGGUGUACGGCCACAUUGGAACUGAGAUACGGUCCAGACUCCUACGGGAGGCAGCAGUGGGGAAUAUUGCGCAAUGGGCGAAAGCCUGACGCAGCAAUACCGCGUGGGGGAUGAAGGUCUUCGGAUUGUAAACUCCUGUUAGGUGGGAAGAAAGGCUUGCUUUAAAUAGAAGUGAGCUAUGACGGUACCGCCAAAGAAAGCACCGGCUAACCUCGUGCCAGCAGCCGCGGUAAUACGAGGGGUGCAAGCGUUAUUCGGAAUUACUGGGCGUAAAGGGUGUGUAGACGGCGUGCCAAGUCUGUUGUUAAAUCCUCCGGCUCAACCGGAGAUGUGCGAUAGAAACUGGUAUGCUAGAGGGUGAGAGAGAGAAGUGGAAUUCUCGGAGUAGCGGUAAAAUGCGUGGAUCUCGGGAGGAACACCGAUGGCGAAGGCAGCUUCUUGGCUCAUUCCUGACGUUGAAACACGAAAGCGUGGGGAGCAAACAGGAUUAGAUACCCUGGUAGUCCACGCCGUAAACGAUGACCACUAGACGUUAGUCUGUUUACAGAUUAGUGUCAAAGCUAACGCGUUAAGUGGUUCGCCUGGGGAGUACGGUCGCAAGACUAAAACUUAAAGGAAUUGACGGGGGUCCGCACAAGCGGUGGAACAUGUGGUUUAAUUCGACACUACGCGAGAAACCUUACCUGGGCUUGACAUGCUUAUGACCGCCGUAGAAAUACGGUUUUCCAGGCUUCGGUCUGGACAUUUGCACAGGUGCUGCAUGGCUGUCGUCAGCUCGUGUCGUGAGAUGUUGGGUUAAGUCCUUUAACGAGCGCAACCCCUGCCGUUAGUUGUUAUUUGCUCUGAAGUAAAGCUUUCUAGCGGGACUGCCUGGGAAACCAGGAGGAAGGUGGGGAUGACGUCAAGUCAUCAUGGUCCUUAUGCCCAGGGCAACACACGUGUUACAAUGGCCGAUACAACGGGUAGCGAUCCCGCGAGGGUGAGCAAAUCUUUAUAAGUCGGUCUAAGUUCGGAUUGGGGUCUGAAAUUCGACCCCAUGAAGUUGAAAUCGCUAGUAAUCGCGUAUCAGAACGACGCGGUGUAUACGUUCUCGGGCCUUGUACACACCGCCCGUCACGCCAUGAGAGCUGUUUUUGCCCAAAGUCAUCUUAGCUAACCUGAAAGGGGGGCGGGUGCCUAAGGCAAGGGCGGUGAUUGGGGUGAAGUCGGAACAAGGUA
Molecule: ribosomal RNA, 1501 nt
Filed under: metagenome
Description: bacterial SSU rRNA
Rfam family: Bacterial small subunit ribosomal RNA
Source: RNAcentral